AUGUUUUCUGAAGCAUCUGGGAGCCCUGGGAGCUGGUGGGAUUCCUUCCUGUCCUGCUGAGACCUGGCUUGGGUUUGAAAACCUGUGAUGCCUGCUCUUUGUGGCAUAGCUGGAGACUACCAGCUCAGGGAUGUUGUCCCAUAACUCAUCUCAGUGUCUUGGAAUUUUGCUGAAAGGGUGUUUAAUUUAAAACCUCUUGGGCCAUAAGCCAGACCCUUACUAUGGAGGCAGCAUCUCCUUACUCUUCGCUGCAAGAUGCCACAGCUUCUCAGCAAAUGCCAUGUGGUACAGGUGGGAAGAUGCAAUGCCGUGAUCCUGCAAGGUUUGGAUGGAGCGGCUAUUUUAUCAAGCCAUUUGCUGUCAGGACUUUCUCACUGAGAUGUGAGAGACCUCUGCACUGCCUCUCCCCCCCGUCCAGCCCAGUCAUGCCUUGGGAAGAAGCAAGGAGCGUCCUCAAGGAAAGGGGUGUGCGAGAGGCUUGG
Tyto alba (common barn owl) is the source of this 482-nucleotide long non-coding RNA. RefSeq lists it as uncharacterized. The transcript is spliced from 3 exons. The record is from RefSeq and is a predicted model, not a curated record. NCBI's taxonomy places the organism in Eukaryota, Metazoa, Chordata, Aves, Strigiformes, Tytonidae.